Molecule: ribosomal RNA, 253 nt
Filed under: uncultured bacterium
Lineage: Bacteria
Description: partial 16S ribosomal RNA
Rfam family: Bacterial small subunit ribosomal RNA
Source: RNAcentral
UACGGAGGGUGCGAGCGUUGUCCGGAAUCACUGGGCGUAAAGGGUGCGUAGGCGGGUCUUUAAGUCAGGGGUGAAAUCCUGGAGCUCAACUCCAGAACUGCCUUUGAUACUGAGGAUCUUGAGUAUGGGAGAGGUGAGUGGAACUGCGAGUGUAGAGGUGAAAUUCGUAGAUAUUCGCAAGAACACCAGUGGCGAAGGCGGCUCACUGGCCCAUUACUGACGCUGAGGCACGAAAGCGUGGGGAGCAAACAGG